This 643-nucleotide ribosomal RNA is filed under the name uncultured Candidatus Captivus sp. RNAcentral's name for it is "bacterial SSU rRNA". It matches the Rfam family "Bacterial small subunit ribosomal RNA", at positions 897 to 1533 of the family's 1533-position model. Lineage: Bacteria; Pseudomonadati; Pseudomonadota; Alphaproteobacteria; Holosporales; Candidatus Paracaedibacteraceae. The record is from RNAcentral.
AAACUUAAAUGAAUUGACGGGGACCCGCACAAGCGGUGGAGUAUGUGGUUUAAUUCGAAGCAACGCGCAGAACCUUACCAACUCUUGACAUGGGACGUAUAAGCUUCAGAGAUGGAGUUUUUCACUUUGGGUGGCGUCCACACAGGUGCUGCAUGGCUGUCGUCAGCUCGUGUCGUGAGAUGUUGGGUUAAGUCCCGCAACGAGCGCAACCCUCAUCCUUAGUUGCCAUCAGGUUUGGCUGGGCACUUUAAGGAAACUGCCGGUGAUAAGCCGGAGGAAGGUGGGGAUGACGUCAAGUCCUCAUGGCCCAUAUGGGUUGGGCUACACACGUACUACAAUGGCAGUGACAGAGGGAAGCGAAGGAGAGAUCUGGAGCGAAUCCUAAAAAGCUGCCUCAGUUCGGAUUGUCCUCUGCAACUCGAGGACAUGAAGUCGGAAUCGCUAGUAAUCGCGGAUCAGCAUGUCGCGGUGAAUACGUUCCCGGGUCUUGUACACACUGCCCGUCACACCAUGGGAGUGGAUUUUACCUUAAGCUGGUGAGCUAACCGCAAGGAGGCAGCCAAUCACGGUAGGAUGCAUGACUGGGGUGAAGUCGUAACAAGGUAGCCGUAGGGGAACCUGCGGCUGGAUCACCUCCUUUCUG